UUACUGGGAGGUAGAAGUAAAUAAUGGGGACAGAAGUUGGACCAGGAACGAGAUGAGCUCUGGGUGUUUGUUCAGCACAAUGAAGAGAGAGUGGUGGUUUGUAGAAAGUCCAGAGAAGAAUUUCUGCAUGGUGACAUGUGAAGAAGGAAGGGUCAUGGCUCUCACUUCCUGCCCAGAGACUCUGUCAGGAGCCUCCCUGUCCCCCUAGAAGGUUUCCAGGACAGCAAGGCUGGAGACGUGUCUUUUCACAACGAGGUCGAUUAGUCCCACAUCUAUUCUCUUACUGGAAUCACCUUCUGUGGGAUUUUCCAUCCUUAUUCUAGCCUUCAGAGUGCUGGCACAUCUGUGACCUUCUGCUUAGAUCAUCAUGAAAAUUGUCCUGAUUCUUUUCCAGUUACCCCUGUAACUUCUUUAACGAGUUGUGAUAGAGAUGUUGCCCAGGAAGCUAAUGUUCUAUUAGCAUAAUAAGCAGCGAAGUGUUGGCACCUCUGCUGUCUCCACUGGAGCAUCUUCUAGGUACAUUCACCAGGAAAGCUGUCCUUGGAUGGUUGUGGGGCUAGACAAGAAGGAAAAAAAUCACUGUCCUCAUGGAAGUUAAAUUGUACUGACAAAGGAGGAAAAUGUCAGGGAGUUAACAAUUCAGUCUCUGUGGCUUCCUCCUGUCCUCUCCCUGAAACUGAGAUCCAGCCAAUCUGCACAUUUAUUCUGAGAGUGGCCCCACUUUAAUGACUACACCCAGCUGUCUACACACCAGGAGGGGAGGGAACUGUAUCCUGAGGCACCAACCCGAUUACCCACCCAACAGCCACAGGGACUUCCAGUGACUGGGGCAUCAUCCUCAAUGCCACCAACCCCUCUCCUUCCUGUGGCUUUUCUAACUGGAACUGGAACUCAGAAAGUACAUUAAUCACCAAUUUGGGAAGCUAUAGGAAAGUAUGUUUUCUAAUAUACAGUGAGAGAAUGUGACUGAUAAAACCAAUUUUCUUGAGACUUUCUCCCUGGAAAGUGAAUAUAUGUAUUCAUAGGGCCUUCACAAGCACAGACUAACAAGCAAAGAGCUACAUUCACUGGGAAGGAAGACUCAAAAGUAAGUGAAAAAUAAUAGUUAA
RNAcentral lists this long non-coding RNA (1109 nucleotides) under Homo sapiens (human). Its description in RNAcentral is "non-protein coding HCG23:18". The record is from RNAcentral. Lineage: Eukaryota; Metazoa; Chordata; Mammalia; Primates; Hominidae.